Molecule: long non-coding RNA, 2034 nt
Organism: Pocillopora verrucosa
Lineage: Eukaryota; Metazoa; Cnidaria; Anthozoa; Scleractinia; Pocilloporidae
Source: RefSeq, a predicted model, not a curated record
CAUUCGGACGAAAAUAAAAUACAAGAAGGAUCCUCUUCUGACAUCUCUGUUUAAAUAAAAGUACACUAAGCUAUGGGUUAUCGACUGAAAGAACUACUACCCACAUUGUUUGUGACCAGCCUUGUGAUGUUAGCCUGGAUCUUUGUCCUUGUCGCUGGUUAUCAUGUCGCAGUUAAGAUGGUGGAUACAAUGGAAUGAAGCGCUCAACUAGACCAAAUGCAGUAUGUGUUAAAUGCUGACAUCUGUUUUUUACAGUAUCCUCUGUCAUCACAAGUGCAAAGAUAAUACUGCGUGUUGCCGUUUGAUUGAAGCCUAACUUUCCGAACACUCAAGAAAGGAUGUGUAACGGGUUUAAAAAAUGCCAUCUCCUACCCAAGAAGUGGACAAGAAAAGAAUGUGUUAACUCAUAGGAAACACAACAUGGCCGGUUCAUUCGAAGUUGGGUUUAGCUAACCCAGGGUUAGUGAGAAAUCUGAUUUCAGAUCUGAAAGCUUUAAAAGAAUAUUUAGUAGAGUUCUUUUUGUACAGAAUUCGAUGAUUGGAUGCUCUAUAAAGAAUAGAGAAAACUGCCCAAUAGAGCCUUUUUGAACAAAGGACUAAUUAGGAACCUCAGAUUACAAUUCAACCUUGGGUUAGCCCUAAUCAGCCUUUGAACCGGGCCCAGAGUAUGAACACCCUUUGAAGUUUCUUCAAAUGCUGCUUUGAACAUUGCACUGAUCUAAGCAGUAAGGAGGGCUGUUUCAUACAAGAUUAGCUCAUGAGUUUCGAUAACUUUUUAUAUUAGUGGCUAGCAAAGGUAUAUUAGGCACAGUGAGCAGUUACACCCAGUAAUCAGGCUGCAAGGCAAAUCCCAAACAGGAGUUCCAGCCUGCAGGCUUAACAGACAGCAGUAAGAGGUCUUACGGGUGGUGGUAGGCUGCCAGUAAGCAGCUAUUACUGAAAACCUUGCUCACUCACCAGUGGAUUACCAGUGGCUCACUCAGACUGCACAUCUGUGAAAUCAUUUAACCCUUUAACUCCCACAAGUGACCAAGACAGAAUUUCUCCCUACAAUAUUACUACAAUAUCAAGCAGACAAGUGAUGAGAAUUAAAAAAAUGUAAAUUAGGGAAUUAUUGGUUGAUCCAAGACCAAAUUCUCCAAACUGCUGUAACAUCAUAAUAAUUGUAUGACAGACAGUAAUGAGAAUUACUAAUGAGAAUUAUUAAUGAGAUCUUAGAAGUGAAGGCGUUAAUGAAAGGCAAGUUUCCUUUUUCUCGAUUGCUGAUUUCAUUUGAGUGAGGUGUUAUGUAGCAUUAAAUGUAAUGCCAAUGUAUUUGAAAGUUUGGCAGUUUUUUUAAAUAUUGAAGGUUUUCCCAUCAAAGAAUUGCAUACUUAACACAGUAUACACCAAAUCUUAUCUUGCUGACUGUGCAAACUUCACUCCCCCACCCCCACCCCUCUGAGUUUUUUACUGUGGACUACCCCCUUGGUACAAAUUCCUUUCUCCCCCAAGCCUUUGCUGCCAUUUAAAUCAAAGAUGGCUGCAAAAAUUUUCGUUAAGAAAAUACUGAACACUUUCUAGCCAAAAUUAUGCCUGCUCCGCAGGCCAAGUCUUUAAUAGCUUCCCAUUCUCUAAUGAGCCAGGAAAUUUGAACCUUUCAAAGAAACAGAGAACAAAGAAAGACUUUGAAAUUGAAUAGUAUUAUUCUAGCCAACCAAAUAGUAAUGCUACAUAUCUGGGUGUUGCCAUGGUUAUCUUUAUGAGAAACUGUUACAGUUCAAAUUUACAAUUUUACAAUGAAUCUUAAUAAUGACAGCAACUGAAACAAAUACACUGAUCUCUGACGACCUUUGUUCAAUACUUUUUAAAUUAAUAUAUUGUAUUAUCCAACUGCACCAAGUAAAGUAAAAGUGAUGUGUGAAUCAAGUACAAAUAUCCUGCAAUAUUGUACAGUCAGUUAUUUUCUAUGGUUAAAAAAAAAAACCUGUUUAACCAGUUGGCUAAGUGCGCUACACUUUCCAAUCAGCUCUCCCUUCUCACUCUUUAAGAAAU